RNAcentral lists this unclassified non-coding RNA (345 nucleotides) under soil metagenome. Its description in RNAcentral is "partial contains 5.8S ribosomal RNA, internal transcribed spacer 2, and large subunit ribosomal RNA". The stretch from base 1 to 120 matches the Rfam family "5.8S ribosomal RNA", at positions 35 to 154 of the family's 154-position model. The record is from RNAcentral.
GAUGAAGAACGUAGCGAAAUGCGAUAAGUAAUGUGAAUUGCAGAAUUCAGUGAAUCAUCGAGUCUUUGAACGCACAUUGCGCCCCUUGGUAUUCCGGGGGGCAUGCCUGUCCGAGCGUCAUUACUGCCCUCAAGCACGGCUUGUGUGUUGGGCCUCCGUCCUCCUCCCGGGGGACGGGCCCGAAAGGCAGCGGCGGCACCGCGUCCGGUCCUCGAGCGUAUGGGGCUUCGUCACCCGCUCUUGUAGGCCCGGCCGGCGCUUGCCGACACAUCAAUCUUUUUUCCAGGUUGACCUCGGAUCAGGUAGGGAUACCCGCUGAACUUAAGCAUAUCAAUAAGCGGAGGA